CACCAUGCUCCCUGCUGCCAUACUUCCUGCCAUGAUGAUAAUGGGCUAAACUCCUGAAACUUUCCAGGGCCUCCUGAUCUCUCUUCUGGUUAAACUAAAGAGAUGCUACAACUUAACACAACAGGAAAUCUAUUCACGCCAAUGAAGACACUAUUAUGCUCCUGCAGAGCCAAGUAUUCCUCUAAGCCACACUGGAGAAGGGGAGGCGAGAAGCUUUAUCAUCUGGCCCUCGCAAUGCUUCUCUAACAUUUGUUUUGUCCAAGAUUCUUAGAGCAGAAGCCAAAUCCAGCCGCUCAAGGGCUGAUUCACAGUCACAAGUACAGGAUAUUUUCUCUUAUUUUUUUUUUUAUAAUACCGGAGAAUCAAACCCAGAGCCUCGUGCACGCGAGGCAAGCGCUCUGCCACAGAGCUAGUGCCCUGCACAGACACGUGUUCUUUCUGCUUUACCUCAUAUGGAAAGUUACUAAGCUAGUUGCCGACUUUUACCAUUAUAGAUCUACUUAAAA
This is a non-coding RNA of Rattus norvegicus (Norway rat), 506 nucleotides long. The record is from RefSeq and is a predicted model, not a curated record. NCBI's taxonomy places the organism in Eukaryota, Metazoa, Chordata, Mammalia, Rodentia, Muridae.